RNAcentral lists this non-coding RNA (89 nucleotides) under Roseobacter denitrificans. Its description in RNAcentral is "TPP sequence". It matches the Rfam family "TPP riboswitch aptamer (THI element)". Rfam says of the family: Vitamin B(1) in its active form thiamin pyrophosphate (TPP) is an essential coenzyme that is synthesised by coupling of pyrimidine and thiazole moieties in bacteria. The previously detected thiamin-regulatory element, thi box was extended, resulting in a new, highly conserved RNA secondary structure, the THI element, which is widely distributed in eubacteria and also occurs in some archaea. RNAcentral also lists the same sequence under 1 other name. Lineage: Bacteria; Pseudomonadati; Pseudomonadota; Alphaproteobacteria; Rhodobacterales; Roseobacteraceae. The record is from RNAcentral.
UCGCAUCACCAGGGGCGCUGAAAAGCUGAGACGUACCCUUUGAACCUGAACCAGAUAAUGCUGGCGGAGGGAGGUCACAUGAGCAUUUA